UUCCCCUCAGCAUAGCAGGGUUGGGCUGAGCUCUACUGCUGUUCACCCAAAAGGAUCAAAUGAAAGAAGGGGUGAUGACUUGUCUGGACCUGUUCUUUAGCAGGAGCCAUGAAGUGCACAGUUACAAAGCCAAAAGGAACAUCAUGAUUAUUCAGUAUGUCUGCAACAGGCAGCUGCAACAUAGGUGGUGGUCUUCCUCACCACCAGACUUCAAGGAGGACAGCCUGUGUGCAGACUUUCCUCUGCCCAUAGCUUUGCUGUCAGAGCAGUGAUAACCAAAGACACCACAUUCCAGAGCACAAGCACUGAGAAAUCUCUCUGUGGCCUUUUCUUUGGUCACAAACAAGUGAGGUCCAAGUGUCUAGAUCAUGUUGAGGAAAUUUUUGCUGAUUUAACAGCUUUUCCAAAGACCCUCUCCACCUGAUCAUAAGCCACA
Molecule: long non-coding RNA, 436 nt
Organism: Pezoporus flaviventris
Lineage: Eukaryota; Metazoa; Chordata; Aves; Psittaciformes; Psittacidae
Exons: 3
Source: RefSeq, a predicted model, not a curated record